Molecule: ribosomal RNA, 254 nt
Filed under: uncultured bacterium
Lineage: Bacteria
Description: partial 16S ribosomal RNA
Rfam family: Bacterial small subunit ribosomal RNA
Source: RNAcentral
UACGUAGGGGGCAAGCGUUGUCCGGAUUCAUUGGGCGUAAAGAGCUCGUAGGCGGUUCAGUAAGUCGGGUGUGAAAGCUCCGAGCUCAACUCGGAGAGGCCACCCGAUACUGCUGUGACUUGAGUCCAGUAGAGGAGCGUGGAAUUCCUGGUGUAGCGGUGAAAUGCGCAGAUAUCAGGAGGAACACCAAUGGCGAAGGCAGCUCGCUGGGACGUGACUGACGCUGAGACGCGAAAGCGUGGGGAGAAAACAGG